Molecule: long non-coding RNA, 2708 nt
Filed under: Olea europaea subsp. europaea
Lineage: Eukaryota; Viridiplantae; Streptophyta; Magnoliopsida; Lamiales; Oleaceae
Source: RNAcentral
AGCUGGGUCUUUAAUUUUUGUAUCUCUUGUUGUACAGUGUCUGAUUUUGUAGAUAAAUUGAAAUUUAUCUGCACAUAAAUUUGACUGUUGCUAACCUUUGCUCCAAUCCAUUUUUCUUGAGGUUGUUUUUAUGGCGUACCAGAGGAGGCAGCCGUAAGAUAGUUCCUAGUCGUCAUCUUCCCCCUCGCUUGCCACCAACGCCAUCAGAGUUGCUUCAUCAAUUUAUGGGUAUUUGUUGCUUUCUUUAGCGUAUAGACUGUCCGCAUUCUCUUUUCCUUAGGAGUGAAUUCCAGUUUGAUCCUCUCCUCCUUCCUCUAAUAAGGUUUAUUUUUUUCUUUUUUCCCUAUUUAUUGUUGGUUUGCACUUUAGAAAACCUUAAUAUUUUAUACAACGUUUUCUUUUGGUUGGGAUAUUUGUUCUUGGAUUUUCUUUUAUUAUUUUACCUUUUGUAGUCCGUUUAGAAUUAUUUUUUAUGGGAUUUUCUUUUUAAAUUUUGGGUUGAAAUUUUGUGACAAUUCAAGUGGGUUUUGUGGGAGAAAAAAAUGUUUCCUCUAUUGUUUUUACCUUUUGUUAUAUGAUUAAAGUCUCUUUUUCAGAGUGUUUUUUUUUUUCCUUUUUUUUUUCCUCCUUUUUUUUUUUUUUUUUUUUUUUUCCCCGCUUUAGCGUAGCUCACUUUUAGACAUGUUUGUUGGAAAUCUGAAUAUUUGCCUACUUUGUACAAUCCUUUUGUUUUUAACUUUUUGCACGAAACUAUUAAAGCAUGGAUUAACGGAUUUCUCAAUACUAUGCUAUGAAAAGUUGGAUGCAACUUUAUUAAUUAAUAUAAAAUAUAAUAAUUUUUAUUUGUAUGCUUAAAUUGUUAGUGAAUGUUUGUGGUUACUAUUUGAGUUCUUGCAGUCUUACUCGAUUUUUUGGUCUAUUAUAAUUAUCCUGUUAAUUGUAGUUAACUAAGAAUCUGGGAAUCCCCUUUUUUCUUUCUUGAUUUCAGUUGUCCAUUUGAAAAAAUGGAAGCAAUUAGGGAAUAUCAUAUAAUUUACAAAACAAAUUUUAUUUUGUUUCACGUGAGCUAUUGCAUUAUUGAUUUCAUGUUUCUUUUUGUUUGAAAUGUAGUUUUCCAAUCAAAAAGUGGAUUAAGAGAUGGUGCAACAAGAAGGGUGGUUUAACCUGUGAAAUAUGCGAUCAGCUUGGGAUUUUACUCUCGUUUUCUAGGCAAAAUUUAUGGCCUUGUAACUGAGGAAAAUGAAACUCAUAUCUUCUUAAACAAGUUUUCUCGCCCUAUUAUGCGGUUCCAACUCCAAGAAGUAAUGCUGAUGUUUUGACUAUUGAUAUCAGGUAUAUUCUGGAGCACAUCUUAUGAAAUUUUUUUGCUCUUGAAUGUUUAGUAUUCAGCAUUGCAUGUUCAAGAGGGUGAGAGACACGAAUCAGAAUGCUUUAAGGAGAUUAUGGUUUCUAAUGAGAUCUGUAGAUUAGCUAGGUUGAUGGUAUUCCACUUGUCAUUUUGCCUGAUUUUGGGUUGUUCUGGCUAGGAAUGCUAAAGGAACUAUGGACGGAUGAUAAUGCAGCUCAAGCACUUGAAACACUGGAGUUCGGGCAAUAGGCUGGUUGAUUUGGAUAAAAAGAUGGCUUUCGAAAUUUUAUUUUCUUCUUUUUCAUUUGUUAUAUUGAUUUUAUUUAAAUUAAAUGUUAAGGAUUAAGUAUACACACAUUUUUACCCUUCUUAAUCAUGUCAUCUUCGAACGAUAGGGACUCUUGUCGUCAAUUACACUACCUUUAUCUGCAACACUGUCAAAUAUCCAUUCAAAAUGCUUAUACGUGUAUUAUGUCAUAGGCGAAAGGUACGAUGCUGUAAUAUAUUGAAAUGCUUGCAUGGGUACUAUGUUAAAUACAUAGUGCUUGCUUAAUCUAUAGUACUAGAAGUACAUUUGAUAAAUUUUAACUUUGUUUUCGAUCUUCAUAAAGUUCAGCCAUCUAUCCACCUUAUUAAACAUGCUUUAAUUAUAUUGAAAAUGUGUUGUUCUUGGAUUUUAUGUCAGUCCAUCAAGUUUUAUUGUAGUCAUGUGACUAUUUCUUAUUUAUUUUAUGUUGUAGAGAAAUCUUUUCUUGUGAAUUUUCCAAAUUUCAAUUGUUGUGUUGUCAACUGUACAUUCUUUGUCAAAGGGUAAGAAAUCCCUACAGAUUUAUGUGUCUCUGGAUUUAGUGUCAUUCUCUGAGGUUUUUUUCGGUUUUGUGAUAUUCUUUGGUUUGUCCUUUUCACAUAAAGCAUUGAAAAUUGUAAGAGGCUUAUGUAUUUUUAGGGGUAAGUGUAUAUGAAAUGGAGAUUUUAGAAUAUCAACUAUAAAUAUGUGAUUAGAAACAUACUGAAUAUCAGCUCAAUAAAUCCUUGUUUUCUUGCAUGUAGAGUGACUGAUGGAAGUCUUUCCAUUUUCAGUGUUGAUGUAUACACAACCCUUGCUGGAGCCAUUGAGAUGCUAUAAGGUUCUUUUCAUCUUGGAGCAAAUGAAGUAAUCAGCAUUUUAGUGCUUAUGAUGUUGUUCUUGCGAAUUUUUUUUAUGGAGUUUCAUUUUAGCAUGUAAGAACGCCACUACAAUAGCACAACAGGGUCUCUAGUAAUUUUUAUUUUUUUUUUAGAUUUUUAUGUACUUCAGAAUUUUGGAUCUAGAUUUUGUAUAGAUAUUUUUACACUUUGGAGUCAAUUCAUAAUGAUUAUU